UUUGCAGUUGAAGCUGAUGACCAGCAGCUGACUACAGCUCUGGAGGCUGAGGAGCAAGUGGGAUGACUCUCAGCUGUCCAAGGGAGAUCUACAAGCAACUUGCAAGUUUUCCUUCUAUCUCUGCAAACUGCAUCCCUGAAAAUUAAUUACAGAAAUACACAGCAACUGAAUGUCAAGAUGAUGUCUAUAUUACAUGUGCAUUAAGCGAAUGGGGAAAGUUUCUCUGUGGAUACCUUUUCUGCUUUUUAAUAAAUUCUUUCUUUUGCCUGAAGAGAAUUAGAAGCUGGCUUUUGACCUCCAUUAAUUUUUUUAAUUUAA
This is a long non-coding RNA of Corapipo altera (White-ruffed manakin), 318 nucleotides long. RefSeq lists it as uncharacterized. The transcript is spliced from 3 exons. The record is from RefSeq and is a predicted model, not a curated record. NCBI's taxonomy places the organism in Eukaryota, Metazoa, Chordata, Aves, Passeriformes, Pipridae.